AGCUUAUUUAUUAAUGAUACUAUAACAUGAUGUGAAAAAAAUGUUUAAUAUAUGUAAUGCAAGAAUUUAUAAUCAUCUGGUACACAUGAAAUACAAUUAAUCUUUCACUUUCAUAUUCAAAUGAGCCUCUACUAAUGUCUCAAGUUCACAUGCAUUGAUUUUCCUCAAUAAAGUUAUAAAUUCAUCGGAAAAGGGCAAUUUUUCGAUAGAAGAAUGUAAAUAAAAAUAAUUACUUUAACCCAUGGUGUUUCGGAUAUUCAAUUGAUUAUUUCUUCAUGAUUUUGGAAGAUGCCAAAAAUUACGGUAGAAAAAAAAAA
This 317-nucleotide long non-coding RNA is filed under the name Mytilus galloprovincialis (Mediterranean mussel). Lineage: Eukaryota; Metazoa; Mollusca; Bivalvia; Mytilida; Mytilidae. The record is from RNAcentral.